This is a non-coding RNA of Ciona intestinalis (vase tunicate), 1353 nucleotides long. The record is from RefSeq and is a predicted model, not a curated record. NCBI's taxonomy places the organism in Eukaryota, Metazoa, Chordata, Ascidiacea, Phlebobranchia, Cionidae.
AUGAAGAUCAAAGAUUUGGUAAAGUAUGAAUCACAAUAGGCAUUGUUACGUACACCCCCUGUUUUCUAGAUGACAUCAGCAAUGUGACGUCACGGAGUGGUGAUGACGCAACAGAAGAACCCACUUCAACAUGGUAUGUGACGUCACAGAGGAUCAAGAGGACCAGGCGCAAAGCAGGAAUAAAGAAAAGUCAGCGUAUAUGCUGCAGAAGAAAAGCGCAAGACAAAGAGCAAAGACGACGAUAAAGAUGCCGGUUUGAGGUUUUGCUUAGGCUUAGAAGUUGUGUGUUGUUGGGGUGUGGUUGCUGGAGCACUCUUACAGUGUUGCCGGAUUAGUGUUUGUGACUCAAUUUUGCUGGACCUAAUGUGGCCAGCCUUUUUGUCAGUCACUACUUUAGUGCAUUUUGCAUGUCACUGAAAUAUAUGCAAUGAAACUAUGGCGAACAUCUUGCUGGAUCGGAUUUUGUUGUUGUACACGUCAUUAUCUGCUUCCUCUGCAAAGGUCGAAUCUUUUAAUGAUUCUGCAUUGUCCUAAUCACUUGAUCGGAACGGCAUGUUGGUACACAAAUACUCGAGUAAUAUCAACGCGCAUUAUAAUAUACACGCAGUUAAAACUUAUACAUUUGAUAUUCCUUAAUUGUUCAUUAGUUAAUUGUCCCCGUUAACCUGUUUCUAUUUUUUUACAAAAGCUUAAUUGUGACGCUGGCCACGUUACAAUUACGCUAUACGUCGAUGGGUCUUUUAAGGUCCGGCGUUCGGUGCGGUUACGUCACUGUCCAGACUGAGUUACGUUACUGUUGGGUUGUUGCGUCGACGUCGCCGCCAGUGGUGCUACGCUAGUUUUAGGUCACUACCGGUACAGUGAUGCUACGCUCGGUUAUUUAGACCACUACGAGUGCGGUUCGUAACAACCUAAUGCAGUUUCAUGACGGUCGAAGCGGUGCUUAACAUCCGAACGAUAUUAUAUUGCGUGGAGAUACCACUAGAGUAUCGCGGUACCAACAUGGCGACUUGUCAGGUGAUUGGGACAUGCGGAGCUGUUAUUGGCUUCGACUCCUUGUGGUCGGACAUUUAAUAAUUUGUACACUGCAUAUGAUUAUCCUUCAGGAUUUGAACCAUAUUUUCUUUGAAGAUGUUUCAUUGAUUAUGUCCGCGUAAAUUAAAGUCUUAUAACUAGCCCAUUUUUGGAUGUGAUUGAGCUGUUGUUUGUAUUGCAUGCUUUUUGCACCUUUUCUAUUUGCACCUCGUUGUAUUAUUUUUGUCUUUUUGUCGUUGUUGUCGUGCACAUGUGUAUGUGCAUUCGUUGUUUCAUUUUUGUCUACGGGGGGGUUCUUUAACCUGCGUGGACAGUAAC